AUUGAACGCUGGCGGCAGGCCUAACACAUGCAAGUCGAACGGUAGCACAGAGAGCUUGCUCUCGGGUGACGAGUGGCGGACGGGUGAGUAAUGUCUGGGAAACUGCCCGAUGGAGGGAGAUAACUACUGGAAACGGUAGCUAGUACCGCAUAACGUCGCAAGACCAAAGUGGGGGACCUUCGGGCCUCACACCAUCGGAUGUGCCCAGAUGGGAUUAGCUAGUAGGUGGGGUAAUGGCUCACCUAGGCGACGAGCCCUAGCUGGUCUGAGAGGAUGACCAGCCACACUGGAACUGGGACACGGUCCAGACUCCUACGGGAGGCAGCAGUGGGGAAUAUUGCACAAUGGGCGCAAGCCUGAUGCAGCCAUGCCGCGUGUAUGAAGAAGGCCUUCGGGUUGUAAAGUACUUUCAGCGGGGAGGAAGGCGGUGGAGUUAAUAACUUCACCGAUUGACGUUACCCGCAGAAGAAGCACCGGCUAACUCCGUGCCAGCCGCCGCGGUAA
RNAcentral lists this ribosomal RNA (504 nucleotides) under uncultured bacterium. RNAcentral's name for it is "partial 16S ribosomal RNA". It matches the Rfam family "Bacterial small subunit ribosomal RNA", at positions 29 to 523 of the family's 1533-position model. The record is from RNAcentral.